Molecule: non-coding RNA, 72 nt
Organism: Bos taurus (domestic cattle)
Lineage: Eukaryota; Metazoa; Chordata; Mammalia; Artiodactyla; Bovidae
Source: Rfam
UCCCUGGUAGCUCAGCUGGUAAAGAAUCUGCCUGCAAUGCAGGAGACCCUGGGUCAAUUCCUGGGUUGGGAA